UACAUUUUGGUGUAUCAAAGCACAGAAAAUUUUGAUUUUUCAGGAAUUAAUUCAUGUUAAUAAAUGUAA
This 69-nucleotide transfer RNA is filed under the name Heterocypris spadix. RNAcentral describes it as "tRNA-Gln". Lineage: Eukaryota; Metazoa; Arthropoda; Ostracoda; Podocopida; Cyprididae. The record is from RNAcentral.